CGGUUGUCAGUGACUCAGGCCUUGGGCUGUUAAUGCCCUGACGGCUUAUCUAACCUUUAUCUACAAGCAUGAGAAGAAAUCUAAUUUGAGCUCUGCUGCUGAUUCCUUUUGGUUUCAGAAGCUCUGGGCCAGAGAAUACCUACCAGAUCCAAGGCAUCAGAGAAAACAACAUUAAACAAGCAGACUACCCUUCCCCUUCUUGCCACUUAUGCUUUAUGUCCCGGUAGGAGUUCCAGGCUCUACAGGCAAAAGGAUAAAUAAGACAUGGGACAUCCACUCAAAGAACUCAGUGUCUGUAAGCAGACAUAUAAAUACAUUUUACAGAAAUUAUAACAAUGCUGUAUUUGCUCUGAUACUUGACAUUUUGGUUAAAAGUUGAAAGUACUGAGCCAGAGACUAAGCAAAAUGGAUUGUUCUGAACUGACAUACCCCUUAAAAGUCUAAAAGUGAUUCUUUUCCUUUUAUUUACUUUUUCUUUUGCAAGAACUAAAAAUGACUCCUAAAUAGUGUAGACG
RNAcentral lists this long non-coding RNA (515 nucleotides) under Chinchilla lanigera (long-tailed chinchilla). Its description in RNAcentral is "lncRNA (ENSCLAG00000026906.1)". The record is from RNAcentral. Lineage: Eukaryota; Metazoa; Chordata; Mammalia; Rodentia; Chinchillidae.